UAGACCUUCAUCAGAUGUCUUAAGUCACUUAUAGGGAGUCAUUCCUGUUAUUUCUUACUUCAUGCUUUCUCCUUUUGUGGAGAUAAGUUUGUACUGAUAUCUCAUUCAUAGAACAUGGUUGUGUACUGGAACAGAAAAGAAAGGAGAGAUGGGCGGUGGAUGGUAAGUGCGAGCAGGUGUGGGAGGGGCACUAAGAUCAGGCCACAGCUCAACUUCACAGGAAGUUGAAGAGCUACUUAGCCUUUCCGAAAACUCAGCCUCACUAAAACAUUGACACUGAGGGCAAGUAAUCGGUGGGUUGAAAAUGGAGAAAUGGUCAUGGGAGAGAAGAGGAAUGACUGGCAGGGUGGAAAAAUGGAGGGGAUAAAGCUUCACAGAAAGACUUCAGAGGAAACUUUACACCUUCAAAACCACAGAUGUGAAGAGUAUAGAUCUCUAUACACUUCAGGGGAAAAACCUGUGCCAAUAAUGGAUUGGGUUCCACGAUGUAAAAGGAAAAACAAAUGGACUUUUUUCAUUACCUCAAUUUCUCAUUAUCUACAUCAACUCAGAACUGGCAAGAAGGUCCAUAGGGAAGACUAAAGGUUUUAAAAGGGGCUACUAUGAGUAUUAUGGGUUCUGUUCCACACUCAGAAAGGACAGCAGGAAGUACCCCCCAAC
RNAcentral lists this long non-coding RNA (660 nucleotides) under Aotus nancymaae (Ma's night monkey). RNAcentral describes it as "lncRNA (ENSANAG00000038605.1)". The record is from RNAcentral. Lineage: Eukaryota; Metazoa; Chordata; Mammalia; Primates; Aotidae.